CAGAAAUCUUGUCUAGUGCAAGUGCAACGAAGAUCUUACACACAUUGGUUCCUGACAUCCAAGGUGACCAAAGCUAAGCAAAGCUGUGUGGACCAAAAGAACUGCCUAGUGGAUAGCAGAUUUUUCACUCAUCUCUUCCUAACUCUCAAGGGGCUGUCACCACUGAGAAGAACGUCUUGGCAAAACCAAGGAAAACCUGCUGUGAGGAAGAAAAAUAGCCUGACAUGCAACAUCACCGACCAGGAGACUGAAGUUAAUGUACAGAGAUGGCUUCAGUUUGACCCUGAAAGAGACUGAGGAAGGAGGAAGCGGUUGAGGAGAAAAGAAGGGCUUGUUUAGGACAAUACUGA
This is a long non-coding RNA of Myxocyprinus asiaticus (Chinese sucker), 350 nucleotides long. RefSeq lists it as uncharacterized. NCBI's taxonomy places the organism in Eukaryota, Metazoa, Chordata, Actinopteri, Cypriniformes, Catostomidae. The transcript has 3 exons. The record is from RefSeq and is a predicted model, not a curated record.